AUGAACUUGAACUGCGGCUGUGGCCUGGACUCGGCAUUCAAACACGACAAACUGACCUCUGGUUGUAGAGAUAUCUUGAAGAUGCUGAAGAACAAACACAGAAUUCACAGAAUGGAAGAAAUUGUUUCACCAUAUACUGUGAUUUGGGGUGUCAGUUGCACUCCAGGGUCCUCUGGAAUCUGGAAUCACAUUUCAGGUUAUAACUUGGCCCUCAGACCAAAGAGAGAGGACCUGAGGUCCUUCUGCCUGGUGAGACCUAGGCAACGAAGUCUUAAUCAGAGGAUUAUCACAGUGCCCUACUCACUUGGUGAAUGUGCUCUACUCACUUUGGGAGUGAAUGAACCUAGAAGAAUGCCUAUGGUAGUGUAAGGUUUGGGCACUGGGCUUUGUAAUUCCAUAUCAAAGAAGUUAUGGUUGCCUUGAAGUAACUGGAAACUCAGAUUAAUUUUAGGCGGUUCCUAUAUGCCAGUUGGUAAAUCAUAUAACCCGAGCAUUGCUCCUCAGCUUUCAGUGAGCAUGACAUCAUUAUGAGACAAGCCAAUUGGGCUUCCCAUGAAAACUUACAAGGAGAUUUUUGUCUGAGCCACAAAUUUUAUUAGUCUAACCCAGGGACAGAGUGGUGUUCCCAGUAGUUCUUUGUGAUUUCUGGAUGUUGUGGCUCCCUUGCCUGGGAUCUAUUUGGUGCUCAGCAUUUAGCUAUAAAUAAGUCUUGAGCCCCAGUGUCUAGCCUGGGGUUGGGGAGCAGAAGGAGGGAGGACAACUGGAGAGGCUAGAGAUGUUAACAAGAAUGUGAAAGCCCAAAAGGAAGACAGGAAUCCAGUCUUAUUUGCUUGCUUUUUUUCUGUAGACAUACAGCCUGAUUGUAGCCUUUGGCCAGUUGUGUCUGCAGAAGAAAUUGAGCUUUCCUUUUCCCAAGUCUCUCUCUCUCAAAACCUAAACCUGUUUCAUAGCCACUCCCUGGAUGGUGCUAGUGAUUUAAAAAAACCUGCCUGCCAAUGCAGGAAACAUAGGAGUUCAAUCCCUGGGUUGGGAAGAUCCCCUCUGGAGAAGGAUGGCAGCCCAUUCCAGUGUUCUUGCCUGGAGAAUCCCAUGGACAAAAGAGCCUGGCAGGUUAUAGUCCACAGAGAUGCAAAGAGUUGGACACAACUGACGUGACUUAGCACAGAACAUACCUAAACCUGUUUCAUCCCUGCCCCUACACAGUAGUGAAUGAAUUGCCUCAUUUAGAGUCAGGAGAUGUAUGUUCAAGUCUUGACUGCCAAUUUCUGUGACUCCAGGUAAAUCACAUUGUCUGGUAAAGUGGUGUUAUACUUCCUUCCUGUCACUCCACAUAGUUACUGGGAGAAUAAAAUGAAUCAUAGGGUUGAAAGUAUUUUGUAGGUUAUCAAGCUCUGUGUAAUUGUAAAGGAGAAAGAAGACGUGUUUUUUUAAAUUUUAUUUUAUUUUUUAACUUUACAAUAUUGUAUUGGUUUUGCCAUAUAUCAACAUGAAUCCGCCACAGGUAUACACGUGUUCCCCAUCCUGAACCCUCUUCGCUCCUCCCUCCCCAUACCAUCCCUCUGGGUCGUCCCAGUGCACCAGCCCCAAGCAUCUAGUAUCAUGCAUCGAACCUGGACUGGUGACUCAUUUCAUAUAUGAUGUUAUACAUGUUUCAAUGCCAUUCUCCCAAAUCUGGCAUUUUAAACUAAGGAAUCCAGAUUGAAUAAAUUUUUCUGAGCUGUCCAGUGUGCCACAAGGUGGCAGCAGGAGCCUGUCUUAGCACCUAUCCUUAGCAAAGGGGGAAAAAAGGAAAGAUUUGGAUGCUGCUUUGCCCUUUUCUGCAAAGUUGAAGAACAGGAUUUAUUCCUUUAUCACUGCCUAAAUUCCUAACUCCACUAAAUCCUUCAAGUCCAUAUUAAAUAAUUUCUCAGAGGGCUUGUAUCCCGUUGUUUUUUUUUGGUUCUUGGCCACACCAUGUGUGUGACCAGGGAUGAAACCCAUGCCUUCCUGCAGUGGAAGCACAGCGUACUAACCACUAGACGACCAGGGAGUUCCCUGACUUGAAUUCUUAAAGCGAAAUCCCAGGGCACUUUCCUUCCUCCUUGUUGAAGUUAAACCAGCCCUAAUAGGUUUCAGUUAAUGGUUGCAAAUCUGUUCUGGGCUUUGGGCUUUCAUACAACUGUCUCCCCACCCCCACGCCUGCUAGGGAUGGCAGUGCUGUAGACUCCAAACUCACUUUAAUUUUCAUCCUAGAGUCAGCUCUAGUGGACCUGGAAAACCAUCUAAUCCAGCUGCUCAUUUUGAAGAAUAGGAAACUGAGGCACAGAGAGGGAAAUAAUUUGUCCAAGAUGAAAUAAGUGAUCAGUUUAUUGAAGAGUGAAAACUUCAGUCCCAAUUUCUUCCUGUGGGUUCAGUUUCUUUAUAAACGUGAAUAUUUCCCAGGUGUUUUGGGAGGCUCAAAGCAGCUUUUGUUUCGCCAAGUGGUGAGAAUUUUGAGCACUUUCUGAGGUAAAGGGAAAUAGGAAAUCUUUUGGUAGCAAACAUUUGAAAAAAUCUUCAGAAGAAGAGUUGCCAUAAGCACCUGUUUUAGGAAUCCCCAACUAUCUGAAAGGUAGGCCUUAGAGACUCUCAGGUACACAUGCUUGAAGGACUAUGACACGUAACGCCUCUGGAGAAAGAAAGAAAAUCAUUUUAAAGGAUACAUUUCAGUCUAUGGGCUUUCAUGUUAGGCUUGCCUUCCUAGUUAUAUUCUUCUCAGAGCCAUAUGUUAAAAGACAGUUCUCAGUAUCCCCUGAGUUAUGGAAAAAGGCAAGAAUGAGGGAAGCCAGCCUUAACCAUUUGCUACCUAUAAAGGGCAUUCUCUGUAUGCAGAAAAUCCACAUAAAGCUGGCAGAGAGGUAGAACAAAAUAAUGUGGAUUAAGAGUCUAAGGUAUUGAUUCAAAGCCUGCCCCAGUUAGUUACCUUUAUAGGCAAUUUUCAUUAAGUCUCAAUUUUCUUAUCUAUACAAUAGAUAUAAUAAUAUCUACCUUAUUAGCUAUGUAACCUUGGACAAGUUCUUUAAUCUCUGUGUACCCACUCCAGUAUUCUUGCCAUGAUGAUUCCAUGGACAGAGAAGCCUGGUAAGCUACAGUCCAUGGGGUCGCAAUAAGUUGGACAUGACUGAGCGACUGAGAAACUGAGCAUGCACUCACCUCCAUUAUAUCAUCUAGUAAAAUGAGGAUAAUAGUAAAAUGAACAGCCCUAUUUCAUAGGUUUUAUAAUGAUUAAUGACUAAUAAAUUAUUAUCUACAACCAUGCAUGGCACAUAAUAAACAGUUUGAAAAGUAUUAGUUAUCACUGUUCUUUUUAUUAAUGCUACCACCAUACAGGGUUGUUGUAGUGAUUAAAUUAGUGUAUGUAAAGGUUUUCUAAAAAGAGAAUAGGCGCUUAAUAAGAUGGUAUUUAUUUUUAUGUGAAAGGUCCUCUGGAGAAAGAAAUGGCAACCCAUCUAGUAUUCUUGCCUGGAGAAUCCUGUGGACAGAGGAGCCUGGUGGGCUACAGUUCAUGGAGUUGCAAAGAGUUGGACAUGACUGAGCAACUGAGCUUGCACAUGCACCAUAUGCAAGCCGGUCUUGACAAAUAUAUUCUUCCUGUACGUUUUUCUCCUUAUUCUUCUCUUCUUUCUUUGGCCUUAGCAGAAGCUUGGAUUCACCCCUAGAGUGUAGGGUGAAAGGGUUGUAGAACUAUGUUUCAGAUGGAGAGGUGAAGGAGAAGAAGGGAUAAACUAAGAGAUCUGUACAAUCUGUUCAUCAUCUCCAUGGGUGUUAUGCUAUCUGCACAGGUUUUCCCACGUCCACCUCUUAGCCUACCUACGGAGACCUUCUCCUGACAAGGCUGUGAGUGGUGACUGAGCAGGAGAAAGCUGAUCUGUAAGCUUUGACACUUAAAUUCAUGGUCAGCAGAAUUUCCAGUGGCUCUGACCCUGGUGUUCACAGAAUUGCUUUGAAGGCUCACUAUGGAGGAAUAAACCAGCUCAUCCAGCUCUGUUUCAUGUGAAGUUUCUGUGUGAAUUUAAGAGUCCUCAACCAUUAAUCACUAAAGUCAGCUUAGGUAGGGGAUUAAUAUUGUUAUAAUGCAGUUUACUCCAAAAAUAUUUCUCAACAGAAGUCAGGGGCCAGCGUGCUCAAUUAAGUUCUGCCACUGACAAGCUUUGUGGUAGACAGCAAGUCACUUCCCUCCUUGAGCUUCAUUCCUCCCAGUAGAUUGUUUCAGCCCUAAUAUUCCAAAGUUCUGAGAUGAAGGUGUGUAGAAGAAUGUUCCCAAUUUGGGGGCUGAGAAUUCUAGAGAGAGAGAGUGAAGAGAGUUAACUCUGAUCCAUGCUUUAUCUUUUGGUUCUUCGCACUAUCAGAGGCUGCCCUUGUUUCCUCCCCUCCCUCAGAGGAUGGUGACAGGGCAGUAUGUUCAUGAAAUUGCUUUCAAGCUUCCUCUCUGGAGGCUUGAAGUGCUUUGAGGACCUGGUUUCAUUUGUCUCUGCCCUGUCCUGUGCCUGGCAUGGUUCUUGCCACAAAGUAGAUGCUUAAUAAAUGUUUGCUGACUUGAAAUGGAGUGAAUACUUUGUGUUCUUAAAAUUUUUUUGAGGUAUAUUAACAUACAAUACAUACAUUUAAAGUGUGCAAUUUGAUAAGUUUUGACACACAGUGUGUCUGUGAAACCAUUAGUGCAGUCAAGACAAUUGACAUAUUCAUCACCCCCCAAAGUUUUCUCAUGUCUCCAUGUGUAAAACCUCGCUUUUAUCCUGUAUCUUCAAACGACCACUGACUGGCUGUCAGUGUAGUUUAGUUUGCAUUCUCUAGAGUUUUAUGUAAAUGGCAUGUAGUAUGUACUCUUUGUUUGGGGGGAGGAUGUAUCUUUUUUCACUCACUGUAGUUAUUUUAAGAUCCAUCCGUAUUGUAGCCUAUAUUAAUUGUUCAUUCUUCUUUAUUGCCAAGUAGUAUCUGUUAUAUAAAUAUACUGCAUUUGUUUGUUUAUUCAUCUGUCAGACUUUGGAUUGUUUCUGAUUUUUGGCUAUUUAAUGUAAAGCUUCUGUGAACAUUCAUGUAUAAAUCUUUGCGUGGAUGAAUGCUUUUAUUUCUAUUAGGUAAACGCCUAGGAGUGGAAUGGCUGCAUCAAAUGGUAGUUGUCUGUUUAACUUUUAAAUGGUCAGUCAGUCAGUUCAGUCUCUCAGUUGUAUCCGACUCUUUGCGACCCCAUGAAUCGCAGCAUGCCAG
RNAcentral lists this long non-coding RNA (5226 nucleotides) under Bos grunniens (domestic yak). RNAcentral's name for it is "lncRNA (ENSBGRG00000002764.1)". The record is from RNAcentral. Lineage: Eukaryota; Metazoa; Chordata; Mammalia; Artiodactyla; Bovidae.